UGCCAGCCGCCGCGGUAAUACGGAGGAUGCAGGCGUUAUCCGGAUUUAUUGGGUUUAAAGGGUGCGCAGGCGGGACGAUAAGUCAGUGGUGAAAUCCUACAGCUUAACUGUGGAGGGUGAUUUGAAACUGGCGAGCUUGAGUACGGCAGAGGUUAGUGGAAUUCAAUGUGUAGCGGUGGAAUGCGUAGAUAUAUUGAGGAACACCAGUGGCGAAGGCGGCUAACUGGACCGGAACUGACGCUGAUGCACGAAAGCGUGGGUAGCAAACAGGAUUAGAUA
RNAcentral lists this ribosomal RNA (279 nucleotides) under uncultured bacterium. RNAcentral's name for it is "partial 16S ribosomal RNA". It matches the Rfam family "Bacterial small subunit ribosomal RNA", at positions 506 to 784 of the family's 1533-position model. The record is from RNAcentral.